GCAGAAGUAGUUCAGCGGNNUCAGCGGUAGAAUACAACCUUGCCAAGGUUGGGGUCGCGGGUUCGAAUCCCGUCUUCUGCUCCA
This 84-nucleotide transfer RNA is filed under the name Staphylococcus aureus. Its description in RNAcentral is "tRNA-Gly". It matches the Rfam family "tRNA". From Rfam's summary of the family: Transfer RNA (tRNA) molecules are approximately 80 nucleotides in length. Their secondary structure includes four short double-helical elements and three loops (D, anti-codon, and T loops). The record is from RNAcentral. Lineage: Bacteria; Bacillati; Bacillota; Bacilli; Caryophanales; Staphylococcaceae.